Molecule: RNA transcript, 4104 nt
Organism: Cryptomeria japonica (Japanese cedar)
Lineage: Eukaryota; Viridiplantae; Streptophyta; Pinopsida; Cupressales; Cupressaceae
Exons: 22
Source: RefSeq, a predicted model, not a curated record
UUAACGAAAGUACUAGUUGAUAGAUAUAAUUAGCCGAUAGGAUAUAUAUUGUAGCUGCUUUCACCCGAGGAGCUGUUUAAUGCGGAAAACAAACUUUUAUAGCAGUUAAACAUUCCUCGCCUCCGUCUGAAAACAAAUUUUAACUCGCAUUCAGUAAUUUCGUUUAAAAGGCUGCAAAAAUCCUGUCCUGAGCUCAAGAAUCUAGUAGCUCUAAAACCCUGAUAUUUUUUGUUCUACUUUUCGUAUAUUUUGAAUAUAUUGAAUCCGCAGUUGUAGGGAGGUUGGUUUUGGUUUGUUUCAUUCAAAAAAAUUCUGCUUUGGUAGGGUUUCAUAGUAUUUUCUUGCAAAUUCGGCCCAUUUCUUGUCACUGCAUCGUUGACAGCACGACACAAUCUGUGCAGAAUCUCGAGGUAAAAUGGGAAAGAGAAAGAGAGAGCAAAAGCUAAAAGAGAAUGAAGGAGGAGAUUUACAUGAUUUCCGCACAGUUUUUGUGAACAAGUUGCCGUAUUCUUUCACUAAUACUCAGCUAGAGGAAUCUUUCAGUGACAUUGGACCCAUAAGACGGUGCUUCCUAGUGAAACCAAAAGGAUCUGAUCAGCAUCGUGGCUUUGGAUUUGUUCAAUUUGCUAUGGUAGAGGAUGCAAAACGUGCUGUUGAAGCAAAGAAGGGAUCAGUUAUAGGUGGGCGGAAGAUUGCUGUGGAUCUUGCUAAGCAUCGGCCUUCAUUUCAGCAACGUCGUGCUAAGACAGGCAAAGGUGACACGGAAGCACAAACAGAAAAUGUGGAGGAUCAUAAAACUAUGGAUAACACCAAAAAAAAUAUUUGUGUAGAUUCAGAGGGAGGGAAAAGAAAAGAAGGUAUUCCAAAUAUUGGCAUUGUCUAUCCUUCAAAAUUAAUAACAGGUGGCUUAAUAACUCAAAAGGCACUGAAAACAAAGGCGAAUAAACAAGAGAAAUUAGAAAUACCUUCAAGUGUCCACCCUCAUGAAGAAAGCAGGGAUUCUGCAGAAAAAGGGAUGCCAGGAAUAAAGCAUAGCUGUAGUCCAUCCAAUUUGGAACUCAAGAGUUCUGCAAUUCAAAGGGUUGCAAGAACUGUUAUUUUUGGUGGUCUCAUUGACCAAAAAAUGACAGAGGCAGUGCUUUUUGAGGCAAAGAAAGCUGGCGAUGUAGAAUCCAUCACAAAUCCACUACCAGAGUUUGAGCUACAAAGCCAUGGGCUUGCUCGGGAUGGUUGCAAAAUGGGGGCUGUUGCUGUAGUAUAUGUUUCUGUUAAAUCAGCAUGUCAAGCUGUCGCCAGAUUACAUCAGAAAAUUAUUGAAGGGGCAGUAGUUUGGGCACGUCAACUUGGUGGUGAGGGUUCAAAGACAAGCAAAUGGAGGCUUAUUGUUAGAAAUCUGCCUUUUGAGGCUAGUGAAGUGGAACUAAGGAAGCUUUUCUCAACAGCAGGUUUUCUGUGGAAUAUUACUAUCCCUCAGGGUUCUGAUGGCAGGCCAUCUAAAGGUUUUGCUUUUGUUUCCUUCACUUGCAAAAGAGAUGCUGAAAAGGCAAUUCGUAUUUUUAAUGGAACCAAAGUUGGCAAGAGACCAAUUGCUGUAGACUGGGCUGUUUCAAAGAAGAAGUAUGAAACUGUUCUUACUUCAGGAGCUGCAAACUCAGGUGGUGAAGUUUCUGGCAGUGAAGUGUCUGACCUAGAGGAUAAUGAUACAGCUAGUGAGGAUGAAUCAGAUAACAAUUUAGCGGGAGAUCCUGCCUCCAGCAUACACAUACGUGAUAAUUGUGUUGAUGAACACAGGCUUGAUACUAACACUGCAUCCAUCAAAGAUGAUGGAAAUGCUGGGACAGAACAUUUGAACAUUUUAAAGGAGGUUGACAUAGCAAAGAAAGUACUCAGCAAUAUCAUUAAUUCUCAUGCAAAAGAGGAUAGCACCUUGAUUUCAAGUGUUCAAAAUAACUUCGAAGAGUUCACUGGAGCAAAGGCCACAAUUCCUGAAAAUAAAAUGAUUUCCAUCAGUAAAACUACAAAUGUGGAUUUCAAAGAAGAAAAUGCUAACAGAGGAGCAGAAAAGUCUGUUCAAAAGGGUUCUUGCACACAAAAAGAUGAGAGCUUACAGAAAACAAUAUUUAUAAGUAAUCUUCCGUUUGACAUUAAUAGCGACGAGUUAAAAACACGAUUCUCAGUUUUUGGGAAAAUUAAAUCUGUUCACCGUGUUCUUCAUCAACUUACAAAGCGACCAAAGGGUACAGCAUUCAUUGAGUAUGAAACAAUAGAAGGAGCUGAAGCUUCUAUAUUGGCUGCAGAAACAAGACAGGGCUUAGCAGAUUCAGGAAUCACUAUAAAAGGAAGACCAUUGACAAUUUUGAAGGCUAUAGAUAAAACAUCAGCUGGUCAGAAGGCAAAAGAGAAGGUAGAAAAGGAGGUUCAUGAUCAUCGCAACCUCUAUCUGACUAAGGAAGGUCUUAUUUUAGAAGGCACACCUGCUGCUGCCGGAGUAUCGAAAGAAGAUAUGUCUAAGCGUCAAAUUUUGGCACGUCAAAAGGAAAUAAAACUUAGGAGUCCAAAUUUCCAUGUUUCAAGAACAAGGCUAGCAAUUUACAAUGUGCCAAAGUCUAUGACAGAAAAGGAACUAAAGAAACUGUUCAUCAACGCAGUACAGUCACGUGCAUCCAAACAAAACCCCUUGAUUAAGCAGGUGAAAAUUUUGAGGGAUAUUAAGAAGCCUAUUAGCACUGUAAAGGGCAGAUCUCGAGGUGUGGCUUUCAUUGAAUUCGGUGAACAUGAACAUGCAAUUGUGGCUCUUCGUGUGCUCAAUAACCACCCAGAAAAAUUUGUGCCAGAGCAUCGGCCUAUUGUUGAGUUUGCAAUUGAAGAUGUACGAAAGUUGCAAAAGCGUAACUUGUCAGUUGCCUCUGCCAAAAUUAGAAAUGGUGAUAAAGGAGUGUCUGCCAAGAAGCAGAGGCAAAAUAUAACCCAGACAAGUGGGAGUCUAGGGGACAAGGAGUCUUUUUCUAAAACUUUAGAGGGUGAAGUGAAAGAAAAUGCAGUUAAAAGGAACAAAAAGGAGAGAAAGAAAAGUCAAAAUGAAACUGAGACAGAUGUACGUGUAGGAAACAAGUCUGAGAGCUCUAAAUCUUCUAAAGAGGAAGAGAAAAAAAAUGUAGUCAAACAGAGCAAAAAGGACAGGAAAAAUAGACGCAAGGUUGGCAGAGAAAAUCUUAUGAUGGAGGAUAAUGGUGAGUCCAAUACAAGUGGUAGUUCUAAGAAACAGAAGCAGAAAGCUGUUUCUGGAAAAGUUCCAGCAGAGGCCAAAGAAAAAGAGCAUAUGACAGAUAAAUCUACAGGUCAGCGUCAAUCGCAGGAUGGCAAGGGAGUGCAACUCUGUGUGUCUGUCACUGGCAAAAAAAUUAGCAAGUUGCAACAAAAUGUGCAUGACAAAAAGCUUGUGAAAAGGAAGUUUAAUGAUAGUAUCGAUGCAGUUUCAGAUAAGCAGAACGGUAAAAGACCAAAGAAAAAGGCAAAUAGCGGAAAGGAGAUUGAAGAUGAACUGGAUAAGCUGGUUGCACGGUACCGGUCCAAGUUGUUUUCAAACAACUCUAAUUCAAAUAAGAAAAAUGAUUUAAAACAAGGUACUGGAGAGCUUCGGAGAUGGUUUGAAUGAUUUCAUUUUGAGUUGAAUGGACAAUUUGCAGUUGUCUCUAGCUGCCUUCAUUUUGCAUAGAUGAAAAGCUAAUUGGGUGUUCAAUGGAACACCUAAAUCACAAUUUUUGUUCAGUGCAUCUACCUGAUAUGCUAUGAAAAAUGGCCAAGUUGAGUUGGUGAGCAUACUUAGAUUUACACUGUACAGGUUCAAUGAAUCUGGUAACACGUUUCACUCGGUGUAUAUCAACUCGGUGUAUUAUCUUUACUGCUCGGUAGACAUGAAUUAACACUUGGUAGACAGCUCGGUGUAUACUGGGCUCUUUGACUGUUUUCCUUUUGUAAUCGACUAGACUGUUCAUAUCGACUAAAUAUUUUGGUAGUGGUAACCGACUAGAGUAUAUAGAAUGACUUUGUAUAUAAAACUAAUGGCAAUUUGAUAAGUAGUAAUAAUCUCCCCUUUUGACAUUA